CCUACGGGAGGCAGCAGUGAGGAAUAUUGGUCAAUGGGCGGGAGGCUGAACCAGCCAAGCCGCGUGAGGGAAGAAGGUACUGCGUAUUGUAAACCUCUUUUGUCAGGGAACAAAGGCGGGGACUAGUCCCCGCAUGAGGGUACCCGAAGAAAAAGCAUCGGCUAACUCCGUGCCAGCAGCCGCGGUAAUACGGAGGAUGCGAGCGUUAUCCGGAUUUAUUGGGUUUAAAGGGAGCGUAGAUGGGUUGUUAAGUCAGUUGUGAAAGUUUGGGGCUCAACCGUAAAAUUGCAGUUGAUACUGGGAGUCUUGAGUACAGUUGAGGUAGGCGGAAUUCGUGGUGUAGCGGUGAAAUGCUUAGAUAUCACGAAGAACUCCGAUUGCGAAGGCAGCUUACUAAACUGCCACUGACAUUGAUGCUCGAAAGUGUGGGUAUCAAACAGGAUUAGAUACCCUUGUAGUC
Molecule: ribosomal RNA, 460 nt
Filed under: uncultured bacterium
Lineage: Bacteria
Description: partial 16S ribosomal RNA
Rfam family: Bacterial small subunit ribosomal RNA
Source: RNAcentral